GUGAUGAUGUGAGAUGAUAAAAUGCCUACAUGGUGAAAUGAAGUGAGGUGAAUGACAUAGGCAUUGUGACAUAGCAUUAAGGUUACUAUCGGCAGUCUGACGAUAUAUGGAAGGAGGAUCGUCUGUGUCAAGUGAUCCUGGAUCACCAAGCCAGGAUGAUGUUGACAGCCGGAUGUCAGGAGCAGGCGAUGUUGGUGGCUAACAAAUAGAACAUGCCUCCAGCUCUGGGACAGCUUGCAACAGCAGCCUUCUCCUCUGGUCCUAAGCAACUUCUGCCAAAUGCUAACCUGAUCCUCUGGAUGACAAAUAGACAUCACUGGCACAUCAGAACUCAUGUGUCGCCCCAGGUCAUCAUCAAGUUCAGUGUUUCAAUGCCAAAGGCUUCCCGAAAAAGGAGUGGUGCCUCAUCUUACUCAUUCCAUACAUGUCACCUUCUUUCACUGAAAUGUCCUAAGCCACGAUGCAGUCCAGAAGACCUUCAUUUCUAAUUUUGUAUUCAAGCGCCAGUGGAGACAAAUUGGUUAGCAGUUCAUCAUGGGAGUAAUUCCAGAGCUCAUUCAUAUAGACUCUAAGGACUUUCCUGUGUCACCAAAGGCAGCCAACACAUAUUUGGUGACCUUGGGAAGAACACAAUAAUUGGUGAUUUAGAAAAACUACAGUGUAUGCUUCAGUCCUUAAGAUUCAUCAUCUAAUUUUCUCUAUCUCCUUUCACUGGCUAAGGAAUAUCUGUCAACACAUGUGCCAUUGGCCUAUCAUUCUUCCUAAUGUGGUUAUUGAGCCUGACUGCCUAUGUCUUGACCCAGGAAAAUUGUUCUGGCACAUGUGCAGGCACCAUAAGGUAAUGUAAAAUAUGCAAGGGUUAAAGUCCCUACCCGUCGCCCCUGCCCCUGUGAGUCUACCUUGAGGGAAAUCUGCGCAUUAUUUUAAACACGUGACUCUUUCUCAUAAUCCUGUAUAUUAGGAAUUUACAUUGUAAAAGUUCACU
Molecule: long non-coding RNA, 985 nt
Organism: Microcebus murinus (gray mouse lemur)
Lineage: Eukaryota; Metazoa; Chordata; Mammalia; Primates; Cheirogaleidae
Source: RefSeq, a predicted model, not a curated record